AACGAACGCUGGCGGCGUGUUUAAGACAUGCAAGUCGCACGGGAUAAGACAUGUAGUAAUACUUGUUUUAUUUAGUGGCGCACGGGUGAGUAACACGUGAAUUACAUGCCCUAUAGUGGGGAAUAGCCCAGGGAAACUUGGAUUAAUACCCCAUGGUAUCGAAAGAUUAAAGGUGGCCGCAAGGCUGUCGCUAUAGGAUUGGUUCGCGCCCUAUCAGCUUGUUGGUGAGGUAACGGCUCACCAAGGCAAUGACGGGUACCUGGUCUGAGAGGACGAGCAGGCACACUGGAACUGAGACACAGUCCAGACACCUACGGGUGGCAGCAGUCGAGAAUAAUUCACAAUGGGGGCAACCCUGAUGGUGCAACGCCGCGUGGAGGAUGACGGUCUUCGGAUUGUAAACUCCUGUCAUCUGGGAGAAAGACCUGACGGUAAAUAGCCGGCAGGGUUGAUAGUACCAGAAGAGGAAGGGACGGCUAACUUCGUGCCAGCAGCCGCAGUAA
This 503-nucleotide ribosomal RNA is filed under the name uncultured bacterium. RNAcentral's name for it is "partial 16S ribosomal RNA". It matches the Rfam family "Bacterial small subunit ribosomal RNA", at positions 29 to 523 of the family's 1533-position model. The record is from RNAcentral.